UGGAUGCUCAUCAGAAGCAAGGGAGGUGGGAGGAAUAAUAGGUAGGCACUAAAAGGGACUUGGCAAUCAUGACGCAUCAUCUUACCUGCUGAAAAAAUCAGCUGGCUUUAGCUAGGAGAACAGGCCACCUUACUUAACCCAGAAAAGGAAUAUGUAAAAUAUGUGUUCAAUAAAUAGCCAAAUGCCUUGUCAUCUAAUUAGUGAUGUGCAUGAAUGGAUGAAUGAGAUUCCCACUGUCCUUAUCUACUAUCCAGUGAAACCACAGCCAAGGGAACAGGCUUGG
Aptenodytes forsteri (emperor penguin) is the source of this 283-nucleotide non-coding RNA. Lineage: Eukaryota; Metazoa; Chordata; Aves; Sphenisciformes; Spheniscidae. The record is from Rfam.